RNAcentral lists this ribosomal RNA (1003 nucleotides) under uncultured bacterium. Its description in RNAcentral is "bacterial SSU rRNA". It matches the Rfam family "Bacterial small subunit ribosomal RNA", at positions 353 to 1371 of the family's 1533-position model. The record is from RNAcentral.
AGUGAGGAAUAUUGCACAAUGGGGGAAACCCUGAUGCAGCAACGCCGCGUGGAGGAUGACGCAUUUCGGUGUGUAAACUCCUUUUAUAUGUCAAGAAAAUGACGGUAGCAUAUGAAUAAGCACCGGCUAACUCCGUGCCAGCAGCCGCGGUAAUACGGAGGGUGCAAGCGUUACUCGGAAUCACUGGGCGUAAAGGACACGUAGGCGGGUUAUCAAGUCAGAUGUGAAAUCCUACAGCUUAACUGUAGAACUGCAUUUGAAACUGGUAACCUAGAGUAUGGGAGGGGGAGAUGGAAUUAGUGGUGUAGGGGUAAAAUCCGUAGAUAUCACUAGGAAUACCUAAAGCGAAGGCGAUCUCCUGGAACAUUACUGACGCUAAGGUGUGAAAGCGUGGGGAGCAAACGGGAUUAGAUACCCCGGUAGUCCACGCCCUAAACGAUGAACACUAGUCGUCGGGAUGCUUGUCAUCUCGGUGAUGCACUUAACAGAUUAAGUGUUCCGCCUGGGGAGUACGGUCGCAAGAUUAAAACUCAAAGGAAUAGACGGGGACCCGCACAAGUGGUGGAGCAUGUGGUUUAAUUCGAAGAUACGCGAAGAACCUUACCUAGCCUUGACAUUGAAGAAACACACUAGAGAUAGAGUGGUGCCCUUCGGGGAAUCUGAAAACAGGUGCUGCACGGCUGUCGUCAGCUCGUGUCGUGAGAUGUUGGGUUAAGUCCCGCAACGAGCGCAACCCUCGUCCUUAGUUGCUAGCAGGUUAAGCUGAGCACUCUAAGGAGACUGCCUUCGCAAGGAGGAGGAAGGUGAGGACGACGUCAAGUCAUCAUGGCCCUUAUGGCUAGGGCUACACACGUGCUACAAUGGGGCGUACAGAGUGUUGCGAUACCGCGAGGUGGAGCCAAUCACUUAAAGCGUCUCUCAGUUCGGAUUGGAGUCUGCAACUCGACUCCAUGAAGCUGGAAUCACUAGUAAUCGUAGAUCAGCAAUGCUACGGUGAAUACGU